This is a long non-coding RNA of Brassica oleracea var. oleracea, 594 nucleotides long. RefSeq lists it as uncharacterized. The record is from RefSeq and is a predicted model, not a curated record. Lineage: Eukaryota; Viridiplantae; Streptophyta; Magnoliopsida; Brassicales; Brassicaceae. The transcript has 3 exons.
CCUCGUAAUCAUCGAAACAAAAGCCUGAUCGUCCUUAUCUGCCACCAAACGGAUAGGUUGAUGAGUUUUACACCUCUGCACAGAACCCAAAGCUGUGAUCUUUAUAUGAAGGUAGUAUAGUUGUACUCUUUUUCUCUCUUGAUUCAGGCAAAUUUGCAUCAUCUUACUGGUGCACACUCCACUGUAUAGCUGCACUUAGAAGAGCAAACAUUGAUCCGGCUGUUGUGGAAGAGGUCUUCUUUUGAAAUGUCUUAACCGCCAAUCUUGGGCAAGCACCAGCAAGACAGGCUGCACUUGGAGCUGGGAUUCCCUAUUCAGUUGUCUGCACCACUGUCAACAAAGUCUAUGCUUCAGGAAUGAAAGGUGUUAGAGAGCAAAGAAGGGAAAGUAUGGAGUGGCAUCAGUAUGCAACCGAGGAGGAGGAGCAUCAGCGCUUGUUCUUGAGUUCAUGUAAGCUUCUUCUUUAACUCUGGUCGGAGAAGACAAUAGGGUAUUCAGCACUCUGAAGCCAAUAGAUGUUGUUACAGAACGCAAAGCGUGACUAUGCGGUUAAUAUUCCGUCUCAUGAGACUGCUUAACUUUGAAUUUGAGAGA